Pezoporus flaviventris is the source of this 626-nucleotide long non-coding RNA. RefSeq lists it as uncharacterized. The record is from RefSeq and is a predicted model, not a curated record. NCBI's taxonomy places the organism in Eukaryota, Metazoa, Chordata, Aves, Psittaciformes, Psittacidae. The transcript has 4 exons.
GGAGGCGAAUGCUUCGGGUUCUCAAGGACAGUCGGCGGGCAGGUAUUCUAGCCUUGAUGUAGUUCCUGUGGUUGGUUUGCAUUUGUUUUCUCUGUUGCCUGAAUCCCUGGCCAUUUCUCUGCCUCUGUAGCUGUGGAGCUGAAGGAGGCUCACUUCUCUGGACUAUGUUCUUAUGAAGUGACUGCUGACAGAAAGCCCCUGGAGGAAAGGAGAGGUUGUCUGCUGAGGGAGCUGCUGAGCUGGCACUAUCAAGAAAUGGAAGUGUUGAGAGGCUGCAGGGUGUGGUAGGAAUGGUGCCACUGGAGUUUGCCAUGCAAGAGAGGGAGGUACAGCCAGCCAGUCCAAAGACAGUUCAGUAGGAACUGCCUGUGGACCCAGAGAGUACAUAACAAACAGUAUGGUCUUGCCCUUCCAUGCGCUGGAUUCCUACUCUGUUGAGCAUACAUUACUGUGAGGCCAAAUGCAUGCUUGGCAAGUGUUUGUGGUUUAAGAGAACACUGAGAAGACUUCUUUGAGUAGUUCAUUCAAGCGAGAAGGUGAUAUUAAUUAUGGGCUGACAUGAUGGGAAAGUCAUUGAAACCUACAGAAGCACUCAUCAUCAUCUAGAAGAUUUUGGAUCAGGUUCU